UUUACAAACCACUUAUACGUUGUCGUACCAUAUCUCUGCCAAAUCACAAUUUGCAAUUGCAUCCGUAACCGAAGUCGCACACUGUCGAGUUUCGCUAGAAAUGGCUGCCCAUUCCUUGGCCAAUCUUCCAUGGACGACCCAAGCAAUCACUCAAUCCAAUCUUCACGGAGCGAAACCCAAAUCUCUAUUACCUCACUCUCUUAAAUCAUACACUUCACAAAACCCAUCAUGGCUAGGCAGCGCCACCACCCACAUGACAAACCUCUCUUUCCAAUCCUCAAAUCUCAGACCCUACUUCCCUGCCCGCCACCCCAUCGCUGCCACGGUCGCCUCCAGUCUUCCCACUGCGAAUCCAGAGAGAUUUGCUUCUAUUGAGAAAGUUCCCAAGUGGUCAUGGAGGGCAAUUAAGGCAUUUGCUAUGGCUGAACUGGAAGCUAGGAAGCUCAAGUAUGCAAAUACUGGGACUGAAGCUCUUCUCAUGGGGGUCUUGAUUGAAGGGACUAGUCUAGCUGCCAAAUAUUUAUGGACAAAUGGUAUUACUCUUUUCAAAGUGUGUGAAGAGACUAUCAAGUUACUUGGAAAAGCUAACUUAUAUUUUUUCCUUCUGGGCAACCUUCUUUGACUGAAUCAGUUCAGAGAGCCUGGAAUGGUCAGUUGGCCAUAAACUAAAAUUGGGUAAGUCCUGCUAAUUUGCUCAUUUUUCUUUUAGUUAGUUUUAAUUGCCUUGCUAAAUUUUCUUUGUUGAAUGUUGGGCGUUGAGUGUCCUAUAAGCAUAAGUUACAGAUUUUAUAGGAAGUUAUUAGAACACAGAUGAAUAAUAUAUCUGCAAUUUGUAAGGACUAGGUUGUAAGAUUUAUGGUUUAACAACUGCUAUUGGACUUAUGAAAUGGGCAAGUGGAUGCUGCUUGUGUUGUGGGAUCUUGAAGUUUCAAAGUUAUUGUUUAUCCAAUUCUAAACCAGCCAAUUCUUUUGCAUCUUAAAAUUCUGGGUUACCUCACUAGAGUGUGUUUAUUACUUCUUAAAAUCGUAUUCACAUGCACAGAAGUUCACUCUUGUCAUCUGAUCAUUUUACCCUGGCUUUUUUGAAUUGUGAAGUUAUAAUAUUGAGUUCAUUUGGUAGUCUAUGCUGUCAUUGCUGAAUGCUAAAGUUUCUGUGACAUCUCUCUGUUGAGAAUGCCAUUUUUUAGAUCGGAGUUAUGAAUUCUAGAAGAAACGUCUUGGUUGACAAUAUAAUUAUAGGGAAAACGUUUUCUAUUAAACAGCGCUGUUAGUCACUGAGCAAAGUUUUUUAGUGCUUUCCUCGAAGACUUGAAUGAGAAUUAUGUAGCAUAAAAAAGAUAAUUACAUGGGUAUAUAUUAUAACAGAAAAAUGAAAAAUAAUUGAAUAUAUAAAAUAUGUGUGAAGAUCAAAUGUUCAAAUGGUUCGAUUUCCUUGCUGUUUUUAUUGUAAUUUAGAAUAUUCUUCCCUGCUUUAUUAGUGCUGUUGUUCUUUCCUAUUUUGUAUAAUUAUCAUUUUGGGCAAUAUUCAUACAUUAUUUAUUUGCAUAAUUAUAAUUUUUUCUUAAUUUGUUCAAAUUUCAUUUCUUCGUUUUCCUGAAUUGAACGUUGCCAUGAUGACUAACCUAAAAAAGGGGAAAGUGGGGUGGGGGAGAAAAUGAUAAAUUAAUUGUUUGUACCGUGCAGAAGUUAAAACACUCGCUUUUCACUAAUGAAUCUCUCAAUCAACGGGGAUGGUGGGGAGGUUACAAGUGAUCUACUUCUUGGCGUUUGGUCAGAAGUGGUAUCCCCAGGUCACAAGAUAUUAGCUACACUUGUCUUAAGUGAUAAGAAAGCCAAAGAGCUGGAGUCUUCAAGUUCUGGACCUGGUUUUGUAGAUGGAUGAUACCUUCCAUGGUUCUUUAUGAGCAGUAACGUAAUUCUUUAAAAUCUUAGGAUCAAGAAUGGCAGUCGGAGUGUUUGACUAAGUGGCAAAUCUUGUCAUUCUUGUACGGAUAAAAUCAUAAUAAUCUUUUCAUUUUUCAAGGAAUUAGCACAAGUUGGUAUUUGGAUUCCCGAUAGACUGUGUAAGUUGUUUUCUUUGUGGAUAAUUUCUUGAAAUUGGUUCAGGACUCGAUUCGGAGCUGAUUUUCUUGCUGGAUCAUCUGCGAAAAUGCUACUCUGUUAGGUCUUGCUUUAGCUGCUUUUUCAUACCUGUAAAUGAAACUAUCCGACACAUAAUUGGCUAACCAUAUAACUACAGAUGAUAUUGGGAGUUCAAUUUACAGUGAAUCAUUGAAAGUAAAUCCUGAAGCCACCAGAGGAGCGGAAAUGGACAGAGUGCUCAAUGUUGAGGAGUUCCGUUUGGAGUUUUCACGGAAGAAAUAUAGCUUUACACAGCGUCCUUCUUGGGAUCAGUAAUUUUACCAUAUUAAUCAUACUUUCAUAGUCAUGCCAGGUCUAGCAUUAUUCAUGAUGGCGACAGAUGCUAUAAAUACAAGCAAAACAAAUGUUGGCAAGUCAUUCUCAUGUGUUAGAAUCAUUGACUGUUGCACUUGUUCCGUGAUCUUCUCUUCCUUGAAUGGUCUCUUGCACGUCGCUUGCUAGUUUUUGUGCCUUUUUUGCUUCUACUUCCCAGUUAAUCCUUAUGACAAACACCACUAAUAACGUCAUGCAAGCAGUGAUUCCAACAAAGAAACCCAGCAGCAACCCGCCAAGCCCGAGUCCUGCUUUAAAAGCUAAAAGCACAGCUACUGGCAAGGCCAUAAAGUAGAACCCUCCAAGAUUGGCAUAAAUACCCAACCAUGGCCUAGCAGUCCCCCGGACAAUACCUCCACAAACUGCUAGAGGGAAAUUUACCACUUCAACCAAAGCCAUUAGCAACAUCAUCUUCUUUACACCUCUUAUAAUGCCCUUGUCAUGGCUAAACAGAGGCCCCCAGAUACCUCUAGCUCCUAACAUCACCAAGGCUCCAAUGCAACCUGAGACCAAACUCAUGGCCAGAGAAACAUAUGCCGACUGGUAAGCAGGGCGUGCUUGAUUGGCCCCAAGCUCAUUGGACACACGAAUUGAAGCACAAGUUGCUAGCGAAAGCAUCACCGAGAAGAGCAAGUAGUCGAAGUUGAGCACAAUGGCUAACACUCCCACUGCUUGCUUGGCAUUCGCCAGCCGCCCCGUUAGCAAGAUUAAGAUCUCCCAGCACCACCAUUCAAGGCAGGUGGUAAGGCAACAUGGUCCACAAAGCUUUAGCAACCUGCGCCAGUCGUAAAUGCCUUGGUCGAACCAUCCUCCCUCCUUCCACUUCCCUUCCUUGCUAUUUUCCUUCACCAACACGUAUGAAGCUAGUAAAAUCACAACUAUAAGAUCGGUUAUCCAUAUUGCCAUGGAUACCCCCUCAAGACCCUUGGAUUUUACAAGAAAGAUGUUAAUGGGUACGUGUAAAGCAAGACCUAAAGCUGAGCUAAACAUUAUUGGAACCGUUAUACCUUGAGAGCUCAAGUAGGCUUUGAGAGGACAGAGUAAGGAAGUGAUGACCAAGUCAGGAAGAAGAUAGAAAAGAUAGGUUUUUGCAACAAGUGAAAUCUCUUCUUGUUGGCCAAAGUGGAUGAGAAUUUUCUCAACAUUAAGCCAUAAGAAAGAUGCAGGCAGGGUUACUAGUAGCAACAAGAAAAUUGUCAUGAGAAGAGUCUUAUGGAGCAGCCUAAAAUUUUUAGCUCCAUAAGCUUGACCACAAAUAGGUUCCAUGGCACCACAGAGACCAUUCAAAACGGAGAAGCCAGUGACAUUAGCAAAAGUGAAACCAAGAGUGCCACCAGCUAAACGGAGAUCUCCAAGCCGGCCUAGAAAAGCGGUUGUUAUAGCAAUCUUGGCAAACCAUGCCAAAUUCAUCGCCAGUAAGGGAAGGGUUAUCCCUCGUUGUAGUUUUAACUCCAAGAAUACUACCUGCAUAAGGUUUGUGGGCCAUUUUCGUGUAAUUAGUGACAGUGGAGGUGGUGGAAGAGGAGAAGGCAGAGAUGCUAUACGAACAGGAUUCUCUUCCAAUUUUGUUGUGGUUAUAGACAUAAUGGCUGAGCCUAAGCAAUAUAGAUUGGUGCGUUUCUAAAGGAAAGGGCAAAUGCAGGCUUCUUUUUGUGUUGGCCAAUUGAAGGAGAGAUAGAUGGUAGUAAUUUAUAGUGCCUGAUGAGAAUGCAAGGGCCAUAUAACUUCACUUUUAGAUAUUAACAUAUUCCUUUAAGCUUGAUCUUCAUUCCUCAUUUUUUAAAGAUGAUUACAGUUCUACUAUUUUACUGCAAAUAGAAGGUUCUUUUCUAGAGUUCUGAAAAAUUUUCUAGUUGCUCCUGAACUCCUAACCGUGAACCUGCCUAAUUUGUAUUAUUCUCGUCUUGAAGAAUAUUUGCUCUCAUAAGGCAGCCACCGAAAUCUACUGCAUAUACUAAUGUUCUAGCAGAUAUAAUUCAGUUCUCCUUAUCUUUUCA
This 4451-nucleotide unclassified non-coding RNA is filed under the name Hevea brasiliensis (rubber tree). Lineage: Eukaryota; Viridiplantae; Streptophyta; Magnoliopsida; Malpighiales; Euphorbiaceae. The record is from RNAcentral.